Molecule: ribosomal RNA, 496 nt
Filed under: uncultured bacterium
Lineage: Bacteria
Description: partial 16S ribosomal RNA
Rfam family: Bacterial small subunit ribosomal RNA
Source: RNAcentral
GAUGAACGCUGGCGGCGUGCCUAAUACAUGCAAGUCGAGCGAACAGAUAAGGAGCUUGCCUCUUUGAAGUUAGCGGCGGACGGGUGAGUAACACGUGGGUAACCUACAUAUAAGACUGGGAUAACUUCGGGAAACCGGAGCUAAUACCGGAUAACAUUUAGAACCGCAUGGUUCUAAAGUGAAAGCUGGUUUUGCUAUCACUUAUAGAUGGUCCCGCGCCGUAUUAGUUAGUUGGUAAGGUAACGGCUUACCAAGGCGACGAUACGUAGCCGACCUGAGAGAUUGAUCGGCCAAACGGGAACUAGAACACGGUCCAGACUCCUACGGGAGGCAGCGGUAGGAAAUUUGGCGCAAUGGGGGAAGGCCUGACGGAGCAACGCCGCGUGGGUGAUAAGGUGUUUCGACUCGUAAAACUCUGUUAUUAGGGAGGAACAAAGGUGGAAGUAACUGUGCACAUCUUGACGGUACCUAAGCAGAAGGCCACGGCUAACUACUU